Molecule: ribosomal RNA, 497 nt
Filed under: uncultured bacterium
Lineage: Bacteria
Description: partial 16S ribosomal RNA
Rfam family: Bacterial small subunit ribosomal RNA
Source: RNAcentral
GAUGAACGCUGGCGGCGUGCCUAAUACAUGCAAGUCGAGCGAACGGACGAGAAGCUUGCUUCUCUGAUGUUACCGGCGGACGGGUGAGUAACACGUGGAUAACCUACCUAUAAUACUGGGAUAACUUCGGGAAACCGGAGCUAAUACCGUAUAAUAUUUUGAACCGCAUGGUUCAAAAGUGAAAGACGGUCUUGCUGUCACUUAUAGAUGGAUCCGCGCUGCAUUAGCUAGUUGGUAAGGUAACGGCUUACCAAGGCAACGAUGCAUAGCCGACCUGAGAGGGUGAUCGGCCACACUGGAACUGAGACACCGACAAGACUCCUAAGGGAGGCACCAGACGGGAAUCUUACGCAAUGGGCGAAAGCCUGACGGAGCAACGCCGCGUGAGUGAUGAAGGUCUUCGGAUCGUAAAACUCUGUUAUUAGGGAAGAACAUAUGUGUAAGUAACUGUGCACAUAUUGACGGUACCUAAUCAGAAAGCAACGGCUAACUACGUG